UUACCGUUUCAAACCAUUCGAUGCAUGUUGUGGAUGUCCGUGGCCGUUAGAUUUCAUUCUAAUCCCGACCUCUUUUGCUGAGCUUCGAGCGCUGCAUGUUUGGGCUACUACUCCCGUAACAAAUUCAGAGAUCUGAUGUAAACUUCGGCCAAAUGGGCUUGGGCCAAGCAUGUUAUAGCCGCAGAGCCACGGUCGCCCCUCCUGUCCCGUUCGCAUUCUUCUUGCUCUAAUCUCUCUCUCUCUCGUUUGCCUGCUCCCCUCCCUGACCUCUUGUUGUUUCGAGAUGCGUGAACGAACUAGCGCUCCAGACAUCAGCACAGCACUACGCCCCUAGGGAGUAAGGGAGAUGAAGGAGAUGAGAGGGAUAGGAUCAUAGAGAAAGAUGAUUCUCGUGGUGCGUAGGCAACGCCCUAUCUUCCUCUGCACCACAGGACCAGUAGAUCCAUCUUCCACAGCGACGGCAGGGCGGUGUUGGUUCUUUUCUGAGCGCUAUAGUGACGCCUUACCCUCCCGCUCCCCUUCUCUCUUCUCUCCGCUCUCCACCUGCCUGCCAACACCACUCCAGUCGCCCCCUCCGCGCGCGCGCUGCUCCAUCUAUCCGCUGAUUUGGUCCAUCCAGAUGUUCUUGGAUCCACCAAUCUCUUACCGGGGAAAAAAGUGAAGAAAGUCACUAUUAAUUCCCUUAUACUCUAUGUUUUUAGGACCCUUUAUUUACGAUUUUCUCGAUCUAUGGAUUUUAUGGUCUGUGAUGUUUUUAGGACCCUUUAUUUACGAUUUUCUCAAUCUAUGGAUUUUAUGGUGUGCUAUGUUGCCCCUUUUCACCUGGUAUUUGUCUCCCAUGGUACCUCAACAUCUGAACCCGUUAGUACAAUUAGCUUGGCUAUUUAUAUUGUUUGGAGAUGAAUACAAAAUUCGCCUCACGUGUACACUUAGCAAUUGGUUAUACUAACAUUUGAACCCAUCAUUACAAUUAGCUUGGCUAUUUAUCUUGUUUGGAGAUGAAUCCAAAAUUCGCCCCAGUGUACACUUAGCAAUUGGUUAUACUAACUGUGCAUCAUUCUACAAUGAUAAAUUUUCUAAGUUCACGAUCAUAUACUGGGACUGUUUAUAUUGUCUUAGUCGCCAUUUUGUGUGUAUAAUUUGAGAUGCAUUACAAACUGACCUUAAUAUUUUGUCAUACAAUUUUGCACUCCUCCAGCUCCACAUUUCUUAUAAUCAUUUUUCAGAUUCUUGCAGUCCAUUUACUUCUAAAUAGGGGAAGUCCUCAUAAUGCAUGUCUUUGGUCCAGACCGUAAUAUAGACAGUUGCCUCAAGCAGAUCAGGCUACAAAUUUGCAUCCAUGAAUGACAACUAUGCGAAUCUCAAGAUCUGCUCUAAAUGGCAUAGAAUUCUGAUUGUUUUAUCAUGAAUUCAAUACCAAAGAUAACAAUGGUUUUUUCAACCUUGGUCAGCAGCAUGACACUAGUAGCACUUAAGCUUAUUAUUGAGGGAUUGCAGAACUAGAAAUGUUACUAUUUUGCUACCAUCAAUAUCCAUGUAACUACUCUCCCAUUGGUGCUUUAACUGAAACAAUAUUUUUGUCGGUGUUACUAAUGUGUUGUUGAGUAGAAUCUAAGUGCGUGCUAGCACUGUUGUUUUGAUGGCAUUAUCAAUUUUCAAUCUUAUCCACUUCCUUU
This is a long non-coding RNA of Aegilops tauschii subsp. strangulata, 1676 nucleotides long. RefSeq lists it as uncharacterized. NCBI's taxonomy places the organism in Eukaryota, Viridiplantae, Streptophyta, Magnoliopsida, Poales, Poaceae. The record is from RefSeq and is a predicted model, not a curated record.